CAGCUGUUACAACAUAGGUUACAGAUUGCCUCCAGCUAUAGGGCUUUUACAUUACUACUGUCCUUAUUGCUGCUGAUUUCACUGCCGGCUUCCUCACUGUCAGGGACCCAGGUAAGACUUACUGUUUCGAAAGGUGACUGCAGCCAAAGUGUUCAUCUAAUUUGCAGGAUAAAGAAAGAGGCUGAGAUCUGGAUGUUAGUUCUAGUUCAUUUAGCGAGAGAUUAUUAAAGAUCUUAUUUGAUGAAACUCCCAGUUUCCCCUCUAGUGGUUCCUGGUAUCCAACCAGGGUGAUAAUUCUCCUCAGGAUAGAAAUUAGGGGGCAACUCUUCUUUUAGAGACUCAGGAAAUAAAAUGUAAAUAAAAACAUAAAAGUAAUAAAAAUAAUAAAUCAGUAUGGAACUGAAUCAUUGGCAAUACAGACAGUAGACAAACCUGGGCCCUGUGCAUAGCCCUGUCCAAUUAGGGAACAAACAUCGGUAGGCAGAAUUUCCACAGAGACAUUCUGACAAUGAUGUAUAUGCAGUGUUUUGCUUUGGACAAGUCUGUGACAGGAAGAGAAUGCUGCAGGUAGUGGACUAAAACAAAAGGUUUUAUUCAGGAAGCACUAGGUGACUAAUCGUCCCACUAGGUGACCAAGCAUUCCAAGCCAGGUGCUGUCAGUACAAAUCCUGGCUGUUCUUGUCAUCCUCAUUAAUGAGCAGGGAAUUAUCCAUUGCUAUGCUGUCCCAAUGGUGAUUAAAGCUAGACGCCUAAAUAGCAGCGCAUUUCCCUGGUAAAUGCUCUGAGCGCCAAUUGAGUAACUGUACCAUGGAUAUGAUUGACAGAGAUUGAAGACUAUGGAGAAUUGAGAGAUAGUGUCCAAUUAUCAGUGUGUAUGGUGAGCAUGAAGUUACAGGAAGAGUUGUGUAGGAAUCCCAGCAUGGUAUUGGCAUAGUAUUAACAUCCACUAACACAGCUCCACAUCCUCAACAGCAGGGAUCAGUUUGGAAGCUGAUCAAGGCACACCAGUUACUCAGUUUAGAGACGAAAGAUUCCAUGGUGCAGAUCUGGGAGUCCUUCCACUGCCACCAGGGACUCUGCUUCUGACAGGAAGGCAGGACUUCUUCAGAGGUGACUUCCGUCAUGCCAGCUGCUCGUCAAGUGCCCUGGGUUCCAGCAUCACUAAAACAUGUUAUUCAUGGAUGGACUGGAGUUGUUGGUCUCUUUCAUAAUGUAAGUAGCCUUUAUUUACGCUUAACUCCUAUCCUUAUGCUGUUCCUUUUGCCCAGUUUUCUGCCCUUCCUCCUGAUCUCUGUUGAUAGACCAUGGAUGCAGCCUUUAGAAUCUUAACCAAGAAGCUGCCUGGUAUUCCCGAGCAUUGUAUCUCCUAUAGAGGGGUGAAAAUCCACAACACAAUAUAUUCCAAGGCCGCAUGAAGCCUUUCCU
Ochotona curzoniae (black-lipped pika) is the source of this 1425-nucleotide long non-coding RNA. RefSeq lists it as uncharacterized. Lineage: Eukaryota; Metazoa; Chordata; Mammalia; Lagomorpha; Ochotonidae. The transcript has 2 exons. The record is from RefSeq and is a predicted model, not a curated record.